Non-coding RNA from Budorcas taxicolor (takin), 492 nucleotides. Lineage: Eukaryota; Metazoa; Chordata; Mammalia; Artiodactyla; Bovidae. The record is from the annotation of a RefSeq genome assembly.
AUGAUGAAAUCCUCAAGAGUUUUAUUAGUGAUCCUGUGGCUUCACUUAAUCUCGGUGAGCAGCCAGCAGAACACCGUGGAGCAGAGUCCUGCGUCUCUGCCUGUCCCAGAGGGAGCCGUUGCCUCUCUCGGCUGCACUUAUUCUGACAGUGCUUCUCAGUACUUCGCAUGGUACAGACAGUACCCUGGGAAAGGCCCUGAGUUUCUGCUGCUCGUGUAUCCAGACAAAGACAAAGAGGAAGGAAAAUUUACAGCGCAGUCCAAUAAAACCAACAAGCAUGUCUCCCUGCGUAUCAGAGACUCCGAGCCCAGCGACUCAGCCACCUACCUCUGUGCAGUGAGCACACAGUGCUCCCCAGGCACCUGCCGCCUGUGCCCAAACCUGCUGGGGCCCCGGCAGCGCCUCUUGGAGAGCUUAGGCUGCAGGGCACAGACAUUCUGUCACCUCUCUAGAUGUAAAUGUGGAUUAAGAGUAGCCAUGGAGAAGGUUUGA